CGAUCUAGUUCGUCAAUACAACCUCGCAUUGGGUCAAAUGCUGUCUGACGUGUUUCAUACCGAUUGUUAAGCCGUUCUUGGCACACUGAUUUUGACUGCGGAUAACUCCGUUUACCUGAUCAGGAUAUGGGGCUCACGGCGGGUGUGACCGGUCAACAGGGGAUGCUUACUCCUCCUAGGCACCUGAUCCCACCUCUGGUGUGUCCAGGGGUCCGUGUUUGCCCAACUAUCUAAUUUGUAUUGCUUGUAGGAGUUAUGAGAUUGAUCACUGUUCGUUAUCUUCACCUUGCAUGUAUGACUUAAUUCAUGAGUGUUACAUUAGAAGAUUGGAUAAAAGUUUUCUUUUAAUAGUACAAGUUCCCCGGGACAGGAUAUGAACGUAAAACCCAACCAGUUUUAUAAUUACAUUGAAACAAAGGUCAGGCAAGUUGCUAAAUCUGGGGAGUCACAGCGAUUAAAACACCAAACUGUGGAAUGAGCCGUCAAAUUCAAUUACUCACAGGUGGUUGAUAAAAUCAAUAUGCAGAGCAAGUGAGAAGUGAUAGUUUAAAAUGUUGGAUUAUUCAACUGUUUAACAGUAAUACAUGCAGCUGCUUCUUAAAAGAGAUCUUGGAAAACUUAUAUGCAUUGGAGGCGAUAAUGUUCAAACAUGUGUUCGAAGAUUACUGCCCUUUUUGAUGGCGACAACCUUAGUGCUCAAUGGAAUUGGAGUGGGAAAGGAACAAACAGAGGGCUGUCAAAUCUAGAAUUAAGAGACAUAAUAACAGAGGCUGUCAAGAUAAAAACAAAUCCGUAGUAUUGUAACUGACAAUGAAAUCGCCAAAGAUCGAGAUGAGGGAGGCGACAAAGGGAGGAAAAAGAACGAGCGGAACAGGCAACAGAGUGACAGUGAGGAAGUGAGCCAGAAUUGAAAACUUUUAAAUCAUUAUUUUUCAGAAAUGUCUACCAUCAUCUAUUUCAAACCUAUGUUGUAACUUCUGACAAUUUAAUUCAUAUAAAAAAUAAUUUUACAGCGAA
This is a long non-coding RNA of Ostrea edulis (European flat oyster), 1017 nucleotides long. RefSeq lists it as uncharacterized. Lineage: Eukaryota; Metazoa; Mollusca; Bivalvia; Ostreida; Ostreidae. The transcript is spliced from 3 exons. The record is from RefSeq and is a predicted model, not a curated record.